GACGAACGCUGGCGGCGUGCUUAACACAUGCAAGUCGAACGGAAAGGCCCUGCUUGCAGGGUACUCGAGUGGCGAACGGGUGAGUAACACGUGGGUGAUCUGCCCUGCACUUCGGGAUAAGCCUGGGCAACUGGGUCUAAUACCGGCCAGGUGCCAUUUUUAGUGUGAUGGUUGGAAAGUUUUUUCGGUGUAGGAUGAGACCGCGGCCUAUCAGCUUGUUGGUGGGGUAAUGGCCUACCAAGGCGGCGGCGGGUAGCCGGCCUGGGAGGGUGGACGGCCACAUAGGGACUGAGGUACGGCCCAGACUCCUAAGGGAGGCAGCAGUGGGGAAGAUUGCAGGAUGGGCGCAGGCCUGGUGAAGCGACGCCGCGUGGGGGAUGACGGCCUUCGGGGUGAAGACUCCUUGCGCUAGGGACGAAGCUUUUUGUGACGGUACCUAGAUAGAAAGCACCGGCUAACUACGUG
This 465-nucleotide ribosomal RNA is filed under the name uncultured bacterium. Its description in RNAcentral is "partial 16S ribosomal RNA". It matches the Rfam family "Bacterial small subunit ribosomal RNA", at positions 28 to 507 of the family's 1533-position model. The record is from RNAcentral.